This 253-nucleotide ribosomal RNA is filed under the name uncultured bacterium. RNAcentral describes it as "partial 16S ribosomal RNA". It matches the Rfam family "Bacterial small subunit ribosomal RNA", at positions 524 to 776 of the family's 1533-position model. The record is from RNAcentral.
UACAGGGGGGGCAAGCGUUGUUCGGAAUUACUGGGCGUAAAGGGUUCGUAGGUGGCCAACUUAGUCAGACGUGAAAUCCCUCAGCUUAACUGGGGAACUGCGUCUGAUACUGGAUGGCUUGAGUGCAGGAGAGGAACGCGGAAUUCCAGGUGUAGCGGUGAAAUGCGUAGAUAUCGGGAGGAACACCAGUGGCGAAGGCGCGUUUCUGGGCUGCAUCUGACGCUGAGGCGCGAAAGCUAGGGGAGCAAACAGG